This 73-nucleotide transfer RNA is filed under the name Dermatophagoides pteronyssinus (European house dust mite). RNAcentral's name for it is "tRNA-Val". It matches the Rfam family "tRNA". Rfam says of the family: Transfer RNA (tRNA) molecules are approximately 80 nucleotides in length. Lineage: Eukaryota; Metazoa; Arthropoda; Arachnida; Sarcoptiformes; Pyroglyphidae. The record is from Rfam by way of RNAcentral.
GCGGUUGUGGUCUAGGGGUUAUGACGUCUGCUUCACACGCAGAAGAUCGGGAGUUCGAUUCUCCCCGACCGUA